CGAAACCAGGUGAUCUACCCAUGUCCAGGAUGAAGGUAAGGUAAUACUUACUGGAGGUCCGAACCCACGCACGUUGAAAAGUGCGGGGAUGAGGUGUGGGUAGCGGAGAAAUUCCAAUCGAACUUGGAGAUAGCUGGUUCUCUCCGAAAUAGCUUUAGGGCUAGCCUCGAGGUAAAGAGUCAUGGAGGUAGAGCACUGUUUGGACUAGGGGCCCUUCUCGGGUUACCGAAUUCAGAUAAACUCCGAAUGCCAUGUACUUAUACUCGGGAGUCAGACUGCGAGUGAUAAGAUCCGUAGUCGAAAGGGAAACAGCCCAGACCACCAGUUAAGGUCCCCAAAUAUAUGUUAAGUGGAAAAGGAUGUGGGGUUGCUUAGACAACCAGGAUGUUGGCUUAGAAGCAGCCACCAUUGAAAGAGUGCGUAAUAGCUCACUGGUCGAGUGACCCCGCGCCGAAAAUGUACCGGGGCUAAACAUAUUACCGAAACUGUGGAUGAACCUCUUCGGAGGUUCGUGGUAGGAGAGCGUUCUAAGGGCGGUGAAGUCAGACCGGAAGGACUGGUGGAGCGCUUAGAAGUGAGAAUGCCGGUAUGAGUAGCGAAAGAAGGGUGAGAAUCCCUUCCACCGAAUAUCUAAGGUUUCCUGAGGAAGGCUCGUCCGCUCAGGGUUAGUCGGGACCUAAGCCGAGGCCGAUAGGCGUAGGCGAUGGACAACAGGUAGAGAUUCCUGUACCAGUGCUAAUUGUUUAACCGAUGGGGUGACACAGAAGGAUAGGGAAUCGCACGAAUGGAAAUGUGCGUCCAAGCAGUGAGUGUGAGAAGUAGGCAAAUCCGCUUCUCGCGAAGCAUGAGCUGUGAUGGGGAAGGAAAUUAAGUACGGAAGUUCCUGAUUUCACGCUGUCAAGAAAAGCCUCUAGGAAGAGUAGUACUGCCCGUACCGCAAACCGACACAGGUAGAUGAGGAGAGAAUCCUAAGGUGAGCGAGAGAACUCUCGUUAAGGAACUCGGCAAAAUGACCCCGUAACUUCGGGAGAAGGGGUGCUCUAUUAGGGUGCAAGCCCGAGAGAGCCGCAGUGAAUAGGCCCAGGCGACUGUUUAGCAAAAACACAGGUCUCUGCAAAACCGUAAGGUGACGUAUAGGGGCUGACGCCUGCCCGGUGCUGGAAGGUUAAGAGGAGUGCUUAGCUUCGGCGAAGGUACGAAUUGAAGCCCCAGUAAACGGCGGCCGUAACUAUAACGGUCCUAAGGUAGCGAAAUUCCUUGUCGGGUAAGUUCCGACCCGCACGAAAGGCGCAACGAUCUGGGCACUGUCUCAACGAGAGACUCGGUGAAAUUAUAGUACCUGUGAAGAUGCAGGUUACCCGCGACAGGACGGAAAGACCCCGUGGAGCUUUACUGCAACCUGAUAUGGAAUGUUUGUACCGCUUGUACAGGAUAGGUAGGAGCCGAAGAGACGUGUGCGCUAGCAUACGAGGAGGCAAUGGUGGGAUACUACCCUGGCUGUAUGACCAUUCUAACCCGCCACGCUUAGCGCGUGGGGAGACAGUGUCAGGUGGGCAGUUUGACUGGGGCGGUCGCCUCCUAAAGAGUAACGGAGGCGCCCAAAGGUUCCCUCAGAAUGGAUGGAAAUCAUUCGCAGAGUGUAAAGGCACAAGGGAGCUUGACUGCGAGACUGACAAGUCGAGCAGGGACGAAAGUCGGGCUUAGUGAUCCGGUGGUUCCGCAUGGAAGGGCCAUCGCUCAACGGAUAAAAGCUACCCCGGGGAUAACAGGCUUAUCUCCCCCAAGAGUCCACAUCGACGGGGAGGUUUGGCACCUCGAUGUCGGCUCGUCGCAUCCUGGGGCUGUAGUCGGUCCCAAGGGUUGGGCUGUUCGCCCAUUAAAGCGGCACGCGAGCUGGGUUCAGAACGUCGUGAGACAGUUCGGUCCCUAUCCGUCGCGGGCGCAGGAAAUUUGAGAGGAGCUGUCCUUAGUACGAGAGGACCGGGAUGGACACACCGCUGGUGUACCAGUUGUUCCGCCAGGAGCAUCGCUGGGUAGCUAUGUGUGGCAGGGAUAAACGCUGAAAGCAUCUAAGCGUGAAGCCCCCCUCAAGAUGAGAUUUCCCAUUUCUUCGGAAAGUAAGAUCCCUGAAAGAUGAUCAGGUAGAUAGGUUUGGAGUGGAAGUGUAGCGAUACAUGGAGCGGACAAAUACUAAUCGAUCGAGGACUUAACCAAAA
Molecule: ribosomal RNA, 2216 nt
Filed under: Listeria monocytogenes
Lineage: Bacteria; Bacillati; Bacillota; Bacilli; Caryophanales; Listeriaceae
Description: partial 23S ribosomal RNA
Rfam family: Bacterial large subunit ribosomal RNA
Source: RNAcentral